UUUACUAAACUAUUAUGCUAUCAGUUAGUGUUCAUUGAUUCUAUAUUUGGUGGACUUAUGUUCGUGCUCUUUGUCAAUGUAGAGACCUCAGUUUCAAUCACUUGAGUGGUGAAAUUCCAACAUCUUUUGUCCAACUAGCUAAAGUAGAUUUCAUGUAUUUGACGGGGAACCAACUUGCUGGACAAAUACCUGGAUGGAUCCUUUCAAGAAACAAGAAUGUGGGUAUUUCUUAUAACAAUUUCACUUGGGAAAGCUCAAGUUCAGUUGAAUGUCCUCGAGGGAGUGUAAAUUUGGUUGAGACCUACUCUGCCGCCUCCACCAACAAAUUGUAAGAUUCUUGUGCCUGUAUUUUGUAUUAAUGUAUUUUGAGAAGAUUGCCAUGUUUCUUUUCCUCUUUGGUGGGUGUUGCUUUUUGUUUAUGAAUAAUAGCUCCAAACAUUGCCUUUUCAUUUCUGAACUAUAAGCAGGCUACUACUAAUGCUUGCAUUCCUUUCCUUAUAUACUGCAGAAGUAGAGUUCAUCCAUGCCUCAAGAAAAACUACCCAUGUUCUGCUAUGGGUAAUCAAUAUUAUUCCUUGCACAUUAACUGUGGUGGCAAGGAGGCAAUCUUCAAUAACAGCAAGUAUGAAGCUGAUUUAGAAGUGAGAGGUGCUUCAAUGUUUUACUCAGGACAGAACUGGGCAUUUAGCAUCACUGGGAACUUCAUGGAUAAUGAUCUUGAGGCUGAUGUUUACAUUGACGCUAACACUUCUACUCUGCAUAAUGUCUCUGCUAGUGAUUCAGAACUGUAUACAACAGCACGUGUAUCGCCCCUCUCUCACAUUCAUCUCAUUUUUGUUUUGAUGUGCAGGACACUCAAAACCUUGUCGUGGAAAGACGGGAAGAACAACCAGUGAAUUCUGUCUCCAUGAACGCUUUUGAAUGCUUAUAUCUAAAUCCUAGGGUCUCAACCUCAGUUCUCUAUUUGAAAAGCAAAUGUUAUGUCAAAGGCAUAUAGUUUUUUGAUUGUUAUGUUUUGGUAGCCGAGCUAUCAGAUGUAGAGAUUUUUAGAAUCUGAGCAUUCCAUUCAUUUUUGUCAGUGAAGUUAGAGUUCCUAUCUCAUAUCAUGAAUGAACCAGCUGAUAUUUAGUUAUUGCUCACCUAAAUAUGCUAAUUCAAGUAACUCAAUAUUUUGGUUUUUAUUUUUUGUGCUUUUGUUUUUCUUCUCUUUUUAGUUUCUAAUGAUAGCAAUUGAUUUUUGUUUGGCAGGUGAAACGAUGACAAUCCUUCUCAGCGAUAAAUGUACUAAGUUAUUGUAUGAACAGUACAAUGUCAUUGACACUGAGUUGCUAUGGCAUCUAAUUGUUAACAGGGAAGUUACUUUCAAAAGGAUUAAGAUCAAGUAGAAAUGAUUAAUGUUCCUAUUUUGGUUUGUUGAAUUAAGUUUUUAGUUUAUUCAUAUGCAUCAACGAUUUCUGGAUUAAUUUGUGUUUUCAUUUUUCAGGUCAGAAAUUUUUUGGAGAGAUGCAAAAUAUGGUCCAAGAAUU
Molecule: non-coding RNA, 1526 nt
Organism: Camellia sinensis
Lineage: Eukaryota; Viridiplantae; Streptophyta; Magnoliopsida; Ericales; Theaceae
Source: RefSeq, a predicted model, not a curated record